This 727-nucleotide long non-coding RNA is filed under the name Lathyrus oleraceus (garden pea). RNAcentral describes it as "Pisum sativum (pea) long non-coding RNA (PSAT_LNC000724)". The record is from RNAcentral. Lineage: Eukaryota; Viridiplantae; Streptophyta; Magnoliopsida; Fabales; Fabaceae.
AAUAAUUACAAAAAAGAACGAUAUGCAAUGAUUCAAAAGUUAUAUGUAGCAAAGAAAUAACAACUUAGGCGAAACAAGUCAAAAGUGUUAUAUAAGGACUCAUCGAAGUUUUUGUAACUCCGGUGAAGUUUCGGCGAUGGUAAAAAGUAUACCUCUGGUUCAUUUAACACUCUUCUCUUUAAGCUUUGAAUCGUUCAUUUAUUCCAUCUUUCCUUGUUCCUCUUUCUUUACUCCUAUUUUCUUUGUGUUGCUAGUGUGUCUUGUAUUGUAGUAAUGAAGUGGCUAAGCUCAGACGCUUUGAAGCUUUAAUGGUCAGCUUCAAAGGUCUAGGUUCAGAGCUCUGAUGUAAGGUUUUUGGAAAGGAUUUUGGCAGAGUAAAAAUAUUAUUUUUCUGGGUGAUUUUCAGGAGUGUCAGUUGGUGUACUUAUAGGAAGAGUUAAGGAAAGAAAAUCAGUGAAAAUUGGAUAAGGAUUGCAACAAAUUUGUUAGAGAAGACCUUCCCAAAUCCCUGAUUUUGUGGAUGGUGAGUGGAGAGAGUGUAACGCAUGAAAUAUUUUCAGCACGUGAGCAUAUUUUUUGUGUAUUUUUUCUUUUCUGAAUGUAACUUUUCACUCAUGCAAUUAGUUUUACUGCUAUAUGAGUUUUCAUUAUUUUUACUGAUGUAACUCAAUAUUUACUGAUGAGAAUGCUUUGUUUUUUCUAUUGAUGCAAUAUGUUUUAUAAUACA